GGAAUAUUGCACAAUGGGGGAAACCCUGAUGCAGCGACGCCGCGUGAGCGAAGAAGUAUUUCGGUAUGUAAAGCUCUAUCAGCAGGGAAGAAAAAAUGACGGUACCUGACUAAGAAGCACCGGCUAAAUACGUGCCAGCAGCCGCGGUAAUACGUAUGGUGCAAGCGUUAUCCGGAUUUACUGGGUGUAAAGGGAGCGCAGGCGGUGCGGCAAGUCUGAUGUGAAAGCCCGGGGCUCAACCCCGGUACUGCAUUGGAAACUGUCGUACUAGAGUGUCGGAGGGGUAAGUGGAAUUCCUAGUGUAGCGGUGAAAUGCGUAGAUAUUAGGAGGAACACCAGUGGCGAAGGCGGCUUACUGGACGAUUACUGACGCUGAGGCUCGAAAGCGUGGGGAGCAAACA
RNAcentral lists this ribosomal RNA (401 nucleotides) under uncultured bacterium. RNAcentral describes it as "bacterial SSU rRNA". It matches the Rfam family "Bacterial small subunit ribosomal RNA", at positions 358 to 774 of the family's 1533-position model. The record is from RNAcentral.